GGUAUAGACCCGAAACCCGGUGAUCUAGCCAUGGGCAGGUUGAAGGUUGGGUAACACUAACUGGAGGACCGAACCGACUAAUGUUGAAAAAUUAGCGGAUGACUUGUGGCUGGGGGUGAAAGGCCAAUCAAACCGGGAGAUAGCUGGUUCUCCCCGAAAGCUAUUUAGGUAGCGCCUCGUGAACUCAUCUUCGGGGGUAGAGCACUGUUUCGGCUAGGGGGUCAUCCCGACUUACCAACCCGAUGCAAACUACGAAUACCGAAGAAUGUUAUCACGGGAGACACACGGCGGGUGCUAACGUCCGUCGUGAAGAGGGAAACAACCCAGACCGCCAGCUAAGGUCCCAAAGUCAUGGUUAAGUGGGAAACGAUGUGGGAAGGCACAGACAGCCAGGAUGUUGGCUUAGAAGCAGCCAUCAUUUAAAGAAAGCGUAAUAGCUCACUGGUCGAGUCGGCCUGCGCGGAAGAUGUAACGGGGCUAAACCAUGCACCGAAGCUGCGGCAGCGACACUAUGUGUUGUUGGGUAGGGGAGCGUUCUGUAAGCC
RNAcentral lists this ribosomal RNA (545 nucleotides) under Klebsiella pneumoniae. Its description in RNAcentral is "partial 23S ribosomal RNA". It matches the Rfam family "Bacterial large subunit ribosomal RNA", at positions 706 to 1249 of the family's 2925-position model. The record is from RNAcentral. Lineage: Bacteria; Pseudomonadati; Pseudomonadota; Gammaproteobacteria; Enterobacterales; Enterobacteriaceae.